GCUAAUACCGCAUACGUCCUACGGGAGAAAGCAGGGGAUCUUCGGACCUUGCGCUAAUAGAUGAGCCUAAGUCGGAUUAGCUAGUUGGUGGGGUAAAGGCCUACCAAGGCGACGAUCUGUAGCGGGUCUGAGAGGAUGAUCCGCCACACUGGGACUGAGACACGGCCCAGACUCCUACGGGAGGCAGCAGUGGGGAAUAUUGGACAAUGGGGGGAACCCUGAUCCAGCCAUGCCGCGUGUGUGAAGAAGGCCUUAUGGUUGUAAAGCACUUUAAGCGAGGAGGAGGCUACUUGGAUUAAUACUCUAGGAUAGUGGACGUUACUCGCAGAAUAAGCACCGGCUAACUCUGUGCCAGCAGCCGCGGUAAUACAGAGGGUGCGAGCGUUAAUCGGAUUUACUGGGCGUAAAGCGUGCGUAGGCGGCUUUUUAAGUCGGAUGUGAAAUCCCUGAGCUUAACUUAGGAAUUGCAUUCGAUACUGGGAAGCUAGAGUAUGGGAGAGGAUGGUAGAAUUCCAGGUG
This 519-nucleotide ribosomal RNA is filed under the name uncultured bacterium. RNAcentral describes it as "bacterial SSU rRNA". It matches the Rfam family "Bacterial small subunit ribosomal RNA", at positions 162 to 675 of the family's 1533-position model. The record is from RNAcentral.